Molecule: ribosomal RNA, 705 nt
Filed under: uncultured bacterium
Lineage: Bacteria
Description: bacterial SSU rRNA
Rfam family: Bacterial small subunit ribosomal RNA
Source: RNAcentral
ACUGUAUGUCUUGAAUUAUUGUGAAGUGGUUAGAAUAUGUAGUGUAGCGGUGAAAUGCUUAGAGAUUACAUAGAAUACCGAUUGCGAAGGCAGAUCACUAACAAUAUAUUGACGCUGAUGGACGAAAGCGUAGGUAGCGAACAGGAUUAGAUACCCUGGUAGUCUACGCCGUAAACGAUGGAUACUAGUUGUUUGGUUUUCGGACUGAGUGACUAAGCGAAAGUGAUAAGUAUCCCACCUGGGGGGUACGUUCGCAAGAAUGAAACUCAAAGGAAUUGACGGGGGCCCGCACAAGCGGUGGAGCAUGUGGUUUAAUUCGAUGAUACGCGGGGAACCUUACCAGGGCUUAAAUGUAGAUUGACAGGACUAGAGAUAGUUUUUUCUUCGGACAAUUUACAAGGUGCUGCAUGGUUGUCGUCAGCUCGUGCCGUGAGGUGUCAGGUUAAGUCCUAUAACGAGCGCAACCCCUGUGGUUAGUUGCCAGCGAGUAGUGUCGGGAACUCUAGCCAGACUGCCGGUGCAAACCGUGAGGAAGGUGGGGAUGACGUCAAAUCAUCACGGCCCUUACGUCCUGGGCCACACACGUGCUACAAUGGUAGGGACAGAGAGCAGCCACUGGGCGACCAGGAGCGAAUCUAUAAACCCUAUCUCAGUUCGGAUUGGAGUCUGCAACUCGACUCCAUGAAGCUGGAAUCGCUAGUAAUC